UACGUAGGGUGCGAGCGUUGUCCGGAAUUAUUGGGCGUAAAGGGCUCGUAGGCGGUUUGUCGCGUCGGGAGUGAAAACCUCGGGCUUAACUCGGGGCUUGCUUUCGAUACGGGCAGACUGGAGGUAUGCAGGGGAGAACGGAAUUCCUGGUGUAGCGGUGAAAUGCGCAGAUAUCAGGAGGAACACCGGUGGCGAAGGCGGUUCUCUGGGCAUGACCUGACGCUGAGGAGCGAAAGUGUGGGGAGCGAAC
Molecule: ribosomal RNA, 250 nt
Filed under: uncultured bacterium
Lineage: Bacteria
Also listed under: 1 other name
Description: partial 16S ribosomal RNA
Rfam family: Bacterial small subunit ribosomal RNA
Source: RNAcentral